Microplitis mediator is the source of this 2561-nucleotide long non-coding RNA. RefSeq lists it as uncharacterized. The record is from RefSeq and is a predicted model, not a curated record. The transcript is spliced from 4 exons. NCBI's taxonomy places the organism in Eukaryota, Metazoa, Arthropoda, Insecta, Hymenoptera, Braconidae.
UGAAAGAAUAAAAUGGGGUUUUCCAAUGAGACGGGAAAUUCACAUCAGUCGAGACUAGUUUUUAUAGUAACAAUUAAAUAAUAAAAUUUAAGCUCUAGAUCUUUACAAGUUAAGCAGAUUGUGUUUAUUGCGGGAGGCUUAGGCUCGCUGUGACAUCUGUUCACCAAACGUAGCCACGGUCACAGGAUGGGUGUAGUAAGACACAGAGGACAAGAUAGUAAGAUAAUGAGAUGGUUGUCCUUUGAAUAUUUUGACUAAAAGGUUUUUAACGAAGAGUACAGAGUUUGGUACUAGUUGAGUCAGUCAGUUCUGAUUGAGCAUUCGUUGUGCGAGUACAAGUUUUUCUGUCGACCGUGGACUCGUUCUCGAGCCUAGUUUACUGUAGUAUUUGUAAAUUAUUCGAUCAGGUUUUAUUUGAAUAUUAUUGGACUGUCGUGUAUUACAAUUAUUAUAAUUCCCUGCAGACCAUCGGGAUACUCGGGAUAACGCCCAAGCUCGUACUGACUUUCCGACAUAUGUAUAAAAAGUAAACUCACUCUGACAUGGUAUAGACAAGAAUUUUCGAAACAGCUUUACACGGGAAUGGACCAUAAAGUGUCGUUGGCUCUGAAGUAACAUCACUUCCAGGGCUCCAAAAUGCAUAGGAUCCAUCAUUGUGAGAUGAAACGAAUCUAUUCUCAGAUACCCAGUGAACUGACUCCAACUGCUGCGCUGAGAUGAAUGUCUGUGCACGGGAAAACAAACCCAUCAGCUGCACUCACAUGUUCGCCAAAUCCACCAGACACAAACAUUUUUUAUUACCUGCUGAGCACCUGGAGUCGCUUUGUUCCACAGUACCAUCAAUCCUCGGUUGUAACCAAUCAAGAUACUGUCUGGGUGUCCAGGUUGUUCGGCAAUGGCUUCAACUGCGCCAGGAUUCUUUUUGUAAUCUUCCGGAACGCUGGAAAUUAAAUGAAUUUAAAAAAAAUCCGAAAUUUUGAAGUUUUAAAAUAAAAAUCAAUUUUUGUUGUUGACAAUUGAAUGAAAUUUUGACCAUUGCAGAGAAAUUAAUCAUGUAAAUUUGAAUCUUCAUUGAAAUUUUAAAAAUUUCUCUUGAAAUCGAUCAGAAGACUUUUUUUAAAGAGCUUGGCAUUAAAAUGGAAAUAACUACAGAACAAUGAGGAAUUUUGAAAAACUUUAUCAGAGAUAAUUUGUAAGAAAUAAAAUUGUCUACAAAAAAGAUCCUAUGACAUUUUUUGAUAAGUCUGAUAGUUUCGCUGGAAAAGUAAAAAGAUCUCGAAAUUUACUAUAAAUUUGACUUCAAGCUCCGAUAACUUUUGAACAGAUGAAUUUAUCAAAAUAUGAUAAGAGACUUUUUUUGUAGAGCGCUUAAUUCCCUACGAAAUUGUAUCCUGAGCUCAUCUGUACAAUGAGCCAUUGCCCAGGCAUCUUAUUUCACCUCCAGCAACUAUUUAAUAGGGGGUGUCAAGAAAAACAAUAGUCGAUUUUUUUGAAUCAGUCUAAUGUGCAUACAUAUAAACUUUUGAACCGAUGGUAUUUUUGGACCCACUCGACGAAUCCCAAUUUAAAAAACAAAAAUAGCAGGGUGGCCACAAAAAAAUGAUUUCAAAAUUCCCUGAUAUUUCCCGGUUUUCCAGUAAAGUUUUUCACAUUUUUCCCUGAUUUAGAAAUUUUAUUCGUAUCAUUUAGAUAUUCAAAGUUUUUAUUAUAUUUUCAUUUUUAAUAAUUAAAUUUGAUAAUUAAGUCAUACGAGAAACCAUAAAAAAUGGCAAUAAAAUAAAUUAAUACUGCCUACUUUUGAUUAUUCGAUGUUAAUAAUGUAUAAGUUAAAAUAUUUAAUAAGAAAUUUUAUGAUUUAAAUAAAUUGAAAAUACACUGGUUACAAAAAUUAAGGGAUAUUAAAAAAAUUUCAAAUUUUUUAUUAAUUUUCAACAGUUUGUAACCCGAAGGAAAAUGGUCGUACAAUAAUAACAAAAAGUCACACUGCAGCUUCAAGUGUCUAGUUUUCUGAUCUGAGUCUUUAAAUUUUUUUAUUAUGCACGAUUCCGGAGCAAUCAAAAAUCAAUCAUAAUUAUCGAAAAAAAUUUAUUGAAGCUCGAAGACCGUUUUUAAGACGAGCAAAAAUUUUGUAAAUUUCUUUUUCGAUAGUUUUCUUAGGAUUACUCCGGAACUUUACAUAAUAAAAAAAUUUAAAGACCAGAUCAGAAAACUAGACACUUGAAGCUUCAAUUUGCCUUUUUUGUUUUUGUCGUAUGACCAUUUUCCUUCGAGUUACAACCUGUUGAAAAUCACUUCAAAAUUUGAAAUUUUUUAAAUAUCCCUUAAUUUUUAUAACUAGUGCAUAAUUUAAAAUUUUUUAAAUUUUCAACUGUUAAAAUUCAAUUCCCGGAUACUUUUCGAAAUUUCCUGACAUUUCCCGGUUGCAUUAAGUUCCCUGAUAAUUCCCGAUAUUCCCGGUUCGUGGCCACCCUGAAUAAAUUUCAAUGAAAUCUACUAAAAAGUGAGUAUUAAUUAUUCGAAGAAAAAUGAUUUAUUAAAUAAAUUGAUAACUUACUUUUGCA